Molecule: ribosomal RNA, 203 nt
Filed under: uncultured bacterium
Lineage: Bacteria
Description: partial 16S ribosomal RNA
Rfam family: Bacterial small subunit ribosomal RNA
Source: RNAcentral
ACGCUCGACACCUACGGAGGCAGCAGUGGGGAAUAUUGCACAAUGGGGGAAACCCUGAUGCAGCGACGCCGCGUGGAGGAAGAAGGUCUUCGGAUUGUAAACUCCUGUUGUUGGGGAAAAAGAGGAUGGUACCCAACAAGGAAGUGACGGCUAACUACGUGCCAGUAGCGCGGUAAGUACUGAGGCGGGCGUGGCGAAGGACG